AUAAAAUAAUUAUGUUUUUAUAGUUUUAAUAUAAAUUUAUUUUACAUAUAAAUUUUAGUAUAUAAUUUUAAUUAUUUUGAUAAUAAUUAAUUAAAUUUGUAGUAAUUAAUAUUAAAAAUUUAAGAAAUUAAGAUUUAGAAAUAUUAAAAUUAAUAACUAAUUUUGUGCCAGCAGUUGCGGUUAAACAAAAAUUAAAUUAAAAUAUUUCAGUUUAUAAUAAAUAAUAAUAAAAUUAAAAUAAAUAUUAAAUUAUUAGGUGAAAUUUUAAUUUAAUUAAAUUUUAUUUAAAAAUUAUGAUUUAAUAAAUUUUAAUUUAAACUAGGAUUAGAUACCCUAUUAUUAAAAAUUUAAUAUAUAAGACUAAAAUAAUAGAUAAUAAUUUAUUGAAACUUAAAUAAUAUGGCGGUAUUUUAGUUCAUUUAGAGGAAUCUGUCUAAUAAUUGAUAGUCCACGAAUAAAUUUACUUAAUUUAUAAUUUUGUAUAUCAUUGUUAAAAAAAUAUUUUUUAGUGAAAAUAAUAUUUAAAAUUUUAAAAUAAAAGUUAAUUCAGAUCAAGAUGCAGAGUAUAAUUAAGAAUAUGAUGGAUUACAAUAAAUAUAUUUAAAUGAAUAAUAUAUUGAAAAAUAAAUUUGAAGGUGGAUUUAAAUGUAAUUUUAAUUAGUUUAUUGAAAUGAUUAUAAAUUAAAAUAUGUACAUAUUGCCCGUCACUUUCAUUUUAAAAUUGAAAUAAGUCGUAACAAAGUAGAGGUACUGGAAAGUGUUUCUAGAAAGA
RNAcentral lists this non-coding RNA (772 nucleotides) under Melitaea cinxia (Glanville fritillary). Lineage: Eukaryota; Metazoa; Arthropoda; Insecta; Lepidoptera; Nymphalidae. The record is from RNAcentral.